Molecule: long non-coding RNA, 771 nt
Organism: Prinia subflava (tawny-flanked prinia)
Lineage: Eukaryota; Metazoa; Chordata; Aves; Passeriformes; Cisticolidae
Exons: 3
Source: RefSeq, a predicted model, not a curated record
CCAGCCUGCUACAGGAGUGACUGGAUAGACUCCUGUCCUUGCACAGUCUCUGUAAGUCACUGUCUGUGAGGUGAAAGCACUAAAACUCGAGCUGCUGCAGCCACUGUGGAAUAGCUUCCCUGAGAACUCAGCAAAAGGAGAAUUCCUGACACACCUGAUCCCUGAGGAUUUGGGAUAGAAAGAAGAAUAGAGGAUAAGAAAAAUCAGGCUCACUUCUCGUUGUCAUAGUAGAGCUUCCCAAUGGCCCAGGCCACAAUGAUGGGAAAGGGGAUACCUGCAGGGGAACACACAGGGGACAUCACCUGUGAAUGGGCCAUUGAAGGCCUCUCACAUGACUGAUAACAUCACCUCAUUCCAAUGUGAGAUGAUCCACCCAUUGGGAGGACCCAAAGCCUUUCCACCAGCAUAAAACCUGCAAUCCCAAACACUGAUGCAGCUGGUUUUCCUCUGAAUCCUUGGAGGAAGACCGGACCCAUCUCGCCAGCACUGGACCCUUUGUUCUACAGGAUCAUCUCUACUCCACAGAACAACAUCUGUUACUCCAGGAGGGCUUAUCUGGACUGCUUCCAACACCCUGACAGCAGGGUGUCAGGUCGUAUCUCUGACUCUGGCAGGGUUUUCUAGGACUUCUGUUUUGUUUGCUUGUUUGUUUUUUUGUACACUGCAUUUGUAUUUUUUUAAUAUCCCUAGUAAAGAACUGUUAUUCCUAUUCCCAUAUUUUUUGCCUGAAAGCUCCUAAUUGCAAAACUGUAAUAAUUUGGAGGGAGGGGG